Long non-coding RNA from Bubalus bubalis (water buffalo), 1435 nucleotides. RefSeq lists it as uncharacterized. The transcript has 4 exons. NCBI's taxonomy places the organism in Eukaryota, Metazoa, Chordata, Mammalia, Artiodactyla, Bovidae. The record is from RefSeq and is a predicted model, not a curated record.
GCUUUAAAAGGAAGGGGGGGGGGGGAACAUCCUAGAAGCUCAUAAAAGCCACUCUGAAGACUAAGGAGCACAUAGUUGUGGCUGAUGCCUGCCUGUGGCCAAGAGCAUGGAGCAGGGAAAAAACAAGUUGUCUGAUGUUGGGCAACUUGUAAGGGUCUCUGGAGGUCAGUGUACUCGUCUACAAAUGGGGUCUUAGGGAACCUAGAUCUACUGUGGAAACUGGUGCAAGCUGGAGGCUAUGCACCCCUAAGUGGGAGCGGCUCAAGUCAUGAAGCAAGAGGUGAAGCUCGCUGCUGGAAGCUGUCCCACUUUUCAAGGUCCACCUCAGAUCAUCAGGCAUUACAUCUGGAGGUUGGGGACCCCUACUCUAAGGUACUUGACACAUGAUGGCUCAAAACCAGGGUAUUCUUGCUGUACUCUUUUCUGCACUGGAUGUAAAUCUCCUACUCGUGACAUCACACAAGCAAACCCAGGAGCCUGUCUGCAGUGGAGCCAGAGGUUGUGCGACAGGACCGUGGAGAGAAGAGGGGCCGGGACUGCAGUUGGCUGUGGAGGGGAAGAGUCGGCAGCGCCGCAGUGGAUUCUUGGAUGCUCACAGCCUCCAAGCCAGUGCUUUCCUGACUCUCCUUGGCAACUAGUGCUCUGAUCUUCUCAUUCCUUCCAGAAUCAGCAGUUUGAAGAGGAGAAUCCAGCUGAGUGGCCAGGAAACAGGAACAACUUCAAAAGCAUUAAAUUCACAGUUGCCAUGAGAUGGGAGAGGCUAUCAAAUUCAUAAAAAUAAAAGAAAACAGCCAUGGGGAAAGAAAAUUCUACAAAUGAAGGAAGAGAUCUUGGAAAUCAUGUUUUCCACAAGACAAAAUAAAAUGAAUAUCACAAUGGAUACUUCAGAAAACUAUACUAGAAAUCAGGCCAAAUGUUAUCCUCCUAGAACCCAAAACUUGGAAAUUAAAACAGAAAAUAUAAAGAAAUAUCAAGAAUAGAGCCAGGGACUUAAUAUCUGGAGAAGAAAAAUUCUAGGAGACACCGAAGAUGGAGAACAUUAAAGGAAAUGAUCUGACUUGAAUAUGACUUCAGAGGCAUCACCACAUGAAACUUCAGAUGUUGUUUAUCUUAGUUGAGGCUGCACAGGGGGAAGGAUGGGAAACAAUUACUGUAAAUUUUAGCAGCUAUGGGGGACCCUGCUUAUGUAACUGGUCAAGAACCCUCAAUAAUGAUGGUUUUCUUUUCCACCACUUAUUCCAUGUUUUCCUUACUGUCUACCAGCACUUUGAUUGGAUGGGAUUCUGUUGUGUUGAAAUUAUGCCCACUCUCAUUGUCACAAGAUCAAAUUCAUUGUGGUCCCAUCUUUAUUGGAUUUCUGCAAUUUUCUUUUUUAUAUUUUAAUAAUUUGUAUCAUUUAUUUCCCAUUCUUUAAAUAACAAUUCAAUUCAAUGUG